UAGAGACUUUUUUAUCAAACGGGAGGGACUUUUUAGGACUAAACUAGGCAUUUGGGACUAAAUGAAACAAACACCCCCAGCGGCGCACGACCUUCCUUCCUCGAGCAGCGGCAGUGGAGCGGGGUGCAGCGGGCUUGGCCUACGCCGACGGGCGGCGUGGUCCCUCUCCUCUAUCGAGUAGCGGCGGUGGCGCGGGACGCAGCGGGCUCGGCCUUCGUCGUCGGCGGCGGGGUCCCUCGACCAUCAGCGGCAGCGCCGAACACAAUAGGCGGCCAGGACGCGGCGGCGAAGCUGAGGGAGCCGUCCCUUGUGGCACGGGGGGCGUGACGGUGCCAUGGCGGCUCUGGGGUGGAGGGCGCAUGCGUGUACGCGGCGCGUUCCUCCGGCUUCCGGCGUGCCGCAGCAUGGACUUCCCUGCUGUCGUCGUGCUCCCUGAUGCCAGCUCCUCCUUCCUCCCGCCGCUAGACAUGCACAACACCAUCCCAUGCCCUCUGCCCGCUGGCCAGAGAAAGGCAUUGGUGAGAAAUAUGGAAUGAUGCACGUGAACAGAUUGUCACUGCCAUCUCAUCCACUGCACUGAAGGAGAUCAAGCCCAUUUCCAUCAGCAUCAACUAGCACCUCUCCUUGACCUGCAUCCUUGUCCUUUGGUAAGUUGGCAUGCUCCCUGUUCGUGUACAAGGACGGUGAGAUGGAUAUGGGUUUGGUACUACUGAUGUUGAUGAACUGCUCAUUUGCAAACAAGAUGAGCCUGAAAGGAACUAAGAGAAAUGACUAUUCAUUUAUCAAUCUUGGCAUUCUUUGUAUUGCCAAUUUGUCAAUUCGACUGAUGAUUGAAUGUAUUGGUAGACACAAUGACCUGUUUCUUGAUCAGCUAUGAUAUGUGUUUCCACUGGCUACUUGCCGCUUUCUGAGGGGCAGAUUUUAGCUUGAGAAGAUUUUUGCGAAAACAUAGCGGUGCUCUUGCUCUGAUGGAAAUUCAGAGUAGGGUGUUCCAAACUAGAUUGAUACACGUAGGAAUUUGUGACUGAGUUUUAUGCUCAGAGCUACAUACAUGCUUGCAGCGCUUCACCUAUCCUAGAACUUUUAUUUCAUUUUUUGUGUUGCUAUAAUCUGUCCAUUAGUCGGUAUUCCAGCUCCAUUAAUCGGUAUUCUAGCUGAAAGUUUCAAAGUUGUCAAUUAUUUUCGAAACUUGGUUCGCAGAGUAGCUGGUCCUUUUUUGGGACAUAUUUGUUGUGUCUUUUUCUCAGUGUGUCUUGUAUUUUGUCAUACACAGUUCAAUUAGCUAAUUGUUAUUAUGCCAUAGCUAAAUUGUGCAACCUAUUGCCGCUCUGCCAUGUGUCACAUGGCCAUCCUUCAUACACCGCUUCACUAGGACUAAGACCGAAGUGCAAAUGAUGAAAUUUCCAAAAGAAGUUGCCUCUUGUUUGGACACCGCGAAGUACGGGCUGGCAAGACUAAGAUUAGGCAAAGAGAGCUUCAGGAGGACCGAGUAUGACACCUCACUCGACGAUCUAUUCUUCAAGCAAGGAUGAAGAAGUUCCUCAUGAGACAUGACAUGAGAUUGGCACUGCUAUACUAAUUACAUUUAAUACCGUCGCCAACAAUGAGUUGGAUAUUAUAGUCAUUCUUUUAUGUCCUCUGAGAAGAUCAUGUUGGACGAGUUCCGGGCUUUAAUGAGUUAUUUAGUCAUUUCUCUUCGGGUUUUUUAAACCAUGGAGGAGAACUGCAUGUGAACUUCAUAGAUACGAGAAGAAAAGGAUAAAGGCAUGUACAAAGUUCAAUUCCUCUUCUGUUUAUUUUGUUUCCUCUUUGUCUACAUACUGGUUUUUGAACUAUGUAUUGUUAAUCGGAUGUAUAUAGACAUGUUUUAGUGUGUUUGUUCACUUAUUGCAAUCAGUAUGUAGUCUAUGUUAAA
This is a long non-coding RNA of Triticum aestivum (bread wheat), 1915 nucleotides long. RefSeq lists it as uncharacterized. NCBI's taxonomy places the organism in Eukaryota, Viridiplantae, Streptophyta, Magnoliopsida, Poales, Poaceae. The record is from RefSeq and is a predicted model, not a curated record. The transcript is spliced from 3 exons.